RNAcentral lists this ribosomal RNA (269 nucleotides) under uncultured prokaryote. RNAcentral's name for it is "partial 16S ribosomal RNA". It matches the Rfam family "Bacterial small subunit ribosomal RNA", at positions 524 to 792 of the family's 1533-position model. The record is from RNAcentral.
UACGUAGGAGGCAAGCGUUAUUCGGAUUUAUUGGGCGUAAAGGGGGCGUAGGCGGUCCUUCAAGUCGGAUGUAAAAUCUCCCGGCUUAACCGGGAGGGCGCAUUCGAUACUGUAGGGCUAGAGGGCAGCAGAGGGAGGUAGAAUUCCCGGUGUAGUGGUGGAAUGCGUAGAUAUCGGGAGGAAUACCAGUGGCGAAGGCGGCCUCCUGGGCUGUUUCUGACGCUGAGGCCCGAAAGCGUGGGUAGCAAACAGGAUUAGAUACCCUCGUA